RNAcentral lists this unclassified non-coding RNA (377 nucleotides) under uncultured bacterium. Its description in RNAcentral is "contains 16S-23S intergenic spacer region". The record is from RNAcentral.
UCCGAGUUGUCCCCGGCAGUCCCCUUAGAGUCCCCGGCAUUACCCGCUGGCAACUAAGAGCAGGGGUUGCGCUCGUUGCGGCACUUAAGCCAACAUCUCACGACACGAACUGACGACAGCCAUGCAGCACCUCACUACCGACCCGAAGGAAACCCCCUUUCAGGGGCUGUCCGGUAGUGUUCGAGCCUAGGUAAGGUUCUUCGCGUUGCAUCGAAUUAAACCACAUGCUCCACCGCUUGUGCGGGCCCCCGUCAAUUUCUUUGAGUUUUAACCUUGCGGCCGUACUCCCCAGGCGGAUGACUUAACGCGUUAGCUACGGCACGGAACCCGUUGGAAAGGCCCCACACCUAGUGCCCAACGUUUACGGCGUGGACUAC